UACGGGGGGGGCAAGCGUUGUUCGGAAUUACUGGGCGUAAAGGGCUCGUAGGUGGCCAACUGAGUCAUACGUGAAAUCCCUCGGCUUAACCGGGGAACUGCGUCUGAUACUGGAUGGCUUGAGUUCGGGAGAGGGAUGCGGAAUUCCAGGUGUAGCGGUGAAAUGCGUAGAUAUCUGGAGGAACACCGGUGGCGAAGGCGGCAUCCUGGACCGAUACUGACGCUGAGGAGCGAAAGCCAGGGGAGCAAACGGG
RNAcentral lists this ribosomal RNA (253 nucleotides) under uncultured bacterium. Its description in RNAcentral is "partial 16S ribosomal RNA". It matches the Rfam family "Bacterial small subunit ribosomal RNA", at positions 524 to 776 of the family's 1533-position model. The record is from RNAcentral.